UUGAANUGGGCGCAGCCUGAUCCAGCAAUGCCGCGUGAGUGAUGACGGCCUUAGGGUUGUAAAGCUCUUUCGGCGGGGACGAUGAUGACGGUACCCGCAGAAGAAGCCCCGGCUAACUUCGUGCCAGCAGCCGCGGUAAUACGAAGGGGGCAAGCGUUGUUCGGAAUUACUGGGCGUAAAGGGCGCGCAGGCGGCCUAUCAAGUCAGAUGUGAAAGCCCCGGGCUCAACCUGGGAAUAGCAUUUGGGACUGUUAGGCUAGAGAUCGGGAGAGGAGAGUGGAAUUCCCAGUGUAGAGGUGAAAUUCGUAGAUAUUGGGAAGAACACCGGUGGCGAAGGCGGCUCUCUGGACCGAUACUGACGCUGAGGCGCGAAAGCGUGGGGAGCAAACAGGAUUAGAUACCCUGGUAGUCCACGCCGUAAACGAUGUGUGCUAGACGUUGGGAGACCUAGUCUUUCGGUGUCGCAGCUAACGCGAUAAGCACACCGCCUGGGGAGUACGGCCGCAAGGUUAAAACUCAAAGAAAUUGACGGA
RNAcentral lists this ribosomal RNA (533 nucleotides) under uncultured bacterium. Its description in RNAcentral is "bacterial SSU rRNA". It matches the Rfam family "Bacterial small subunit ribosomal RNA", at positions 364 to 917 of the family's 1533-position model. The record is from RNAcentral.